This 468-nucleotide ribosomal RNA is filed under the name uncultured bacterium. RNAcentral describes it as "partial 16S ribosomal RNA". It matches the Rfam family "Bacterial small subunit ribosomal RNA", at positions 28 to 507 of the family's 1533-position model. The record is from RNAcentral.
GACGAACGCUGGCGGCGUGCUUAACACAUACAAGUCGAACGGAAAGGCCCUGCUUUUGUGGGGUGCUCGAGUGGCGAACGGGUGAGUAACACGUGAGUAACCUGCCCUUGACUUUGGGAUAACUUCAGGAAACUGGGGCUAAUACCGGAUAGGAGCUCCUGCUGCAUGGUGGGGGUUGGAAAGUUUCGGCGGUUGGGGAUGGACUCGCGGCUUAUCAGCUGGUUGGUGGGGUAGUGGCUUACCAAGGCUUUGACGGGUAGCCGGCCUGAGAGGGUGACCGGCCACAUUGGGACUGAGAUACGGCCCAGACUCCUGCGGGAGGCAGCAGUGGGGAAUAUUGCACAAUGGGCGGAAGCCUGAUGCAGCAACGCCGCGUGCGGGAUGACGGCCUUCGGGUUGUAAACCGCUUUCGCCUGUGACGAAGCGUGAGUGACGGUAAUGGGUAAAGAAGCACCGGCUAACUACGUG